UAGUCAUAUGCUUGUCCCAAAGAUUAAGCCAUGCAUGUGCAAGUAUAAGCUAAUAUACGGUGAAACUGCGAAAGGCUCAUUAAAUCAGCUAUAAUUUACUUGAUGAUUAAGCUACAUGGAUAACCGUGGUAAUUCUAGGGCUAAUACAUGCGGAUGGUCCGUAAAGGACGGCAUUUAUUGGAUUAAACCAACCCCCAUGCGGGAGCGGCGAGUCAAGAUAACUGGGCGGAUCGCAGGGCAUUGGCCGGCGACGCAUCAAACAAAUAACUGCCCUAUCAACUUUUGAUGGUAGGAUAGAGGCCUACCAUGGUGACGACGGGUAACGGGGAAUUGGGGUUCGAUUCCGGAGAGGGAGCCUGAGAAAUGGCUACCACUUCCAAGGAAGGCAGCAGGCGCGCAAAUUACCCAAUCCUGACAUAGGGAGGUAGUGACAGGAAAUAACGAGGCAGGGCCAUUAGGUUUUGCGAUUGGAAUGAGAGGUGUUUAAAAGCGAUAACGAGAAACGAUU
This 508-nucleotide ribosomal RNA is filed under the name uncultured eukaryote. RNAcentral describes it as "bacterial SSU rRNA". It matches the Rfam family "Eukaryotic small subunit ribosomal RNA", at positions 21 to 549 of the family's 1831-position model. The record is from RNAcentral.